GGGGGCAUAGCUCAGUGGUAGAGCGAUCGCUUCGCAUGCGAUAGGUCGUGAGUUCAAUCCCCACUGCCUCCA
RNAcentral lists this transfer RNA (72 nucleotides) under Adineta vaga. Its description in RNAcentral is "tRNA-Ala for anticodon CGC". It matches the Rfam family "tRNA". Rfam says of the family: Transfer RNA (tRNA) molecules are approximately 80 nucleotides in length. Their secondary structure includes four short double-helical elements and three loops (D, anti-codon, and T loops). Further hydrogen bonds mediate the characteristic L-shaped molecular structure. tRNAs have two regions of fundamental functional importance: the anti-codon, which is responsible for specific mRNA codon recognition, and the 3' end, to which the tRNAs corresponding amino acid is attached (by aminoacyl-tRNA synthetases). tRNAs cope with the degeneracy of the genetic code in two manners: having more than one tRNA (with a specific anti-codon) for a particular amino acid; and 'wobble' base-pairing, i.e. permitting non-standard base-pairing at the 3rd anti-codon position. Lineage: Eukaryota; Metazoa; Rotifera; Eurotatoria; Adinetida; Adinetidae. RNAcentral also lists the same sequence under 7 other names. The record is from RNAcentral.